AGACUGGGUGAGUCUUCUGGCAUUCAUCUUUCUCCUGUGCUGGAUGCUUCCUGCCCUCAGACAUCAGACUCCAAGUUCUUCAGCUUUUGGACUCUUGGACUUACACCAGUGGUUUGUCAGGGGCUCUCGGGCCUCCAGCCACAGAUUGAAGACUGCACUGUUGGCUUCUCAACUUUUGAGGUUUUGGGGACUUGGCAUGGCUUCCUGGCUCCUCACCUUGCAGACAGCCUAUUGUGAGACUUCACUUUGUGAUCGUUGACACAUUUAUUUAUUGACAGUUUGGACAAAAGUUUAUCAAGGAACUUUUCACGCUUAGGAUGAAUUACAACAAGAACCAACAUUUCUUUAGUUCCAGCAGCUCUAUGCAACUCAUUUUCAUCUAGCAUUACCUCUCCAAAACCUGAAUCUCCACAAGAAAGCCACACAGCAAUUAACCAGUGUUGCAAGAACUGCUUCUGUAAUAAAGGUGGGAAGACAAAUUGAUGCAACCCUCUUGAAAAGCAAUCUGGCAAUAUGAACCAAGAGCCAUGAAAAGGCUUAUGCUAUUAUAAUUAAAUGGCUGUAAUGUUGGCUGUAAAUAUGAAAUUUUCUUUCACACACCAAUGUUUUCAAGAAUGGCAUAUUCACAUGCAGUAUGUGACGGAGUCUUACUCUGUCGCCCAGGCAGGAGUGCAAUGGCACAAUCUUGGCUCACCACAACCUCCGCCUCCUGGGUUCAAGUGACUCUCCUGCCUGGCCAUAGAAGCAAACACAAACAUAGAGGAAUUGGCUUUGGGCAGAUGGAAGGACCUCAGAGAAAAGAAACAAAGGAAAGAAAACUGGAUGGAUAAAGGUACAAAGAAAUUUGGAGUAGAGCUGAAUUGCAUCCCCCUCAAAUUCAUAUGUUAAAAUUCUGAUCCUCAAUACCUCAGAAUGUGACUGUUUCUGAAGACAGGGCCUUUAAAGAUGUAAUUAAGGUAAAAAAGUCAUAUCGGUGGGCCCUAAUACAACAUUAAGGAUGUCCCUAUAAGAAGAGGAGAUUAGAACACAGGCAUGCACAGAGAGAUGACAUGUGGAGACACAAGGAAAAAUGACCAUCUCGUCAAGGUGAAAAGCCUUUUGAAGAAACCAACCCUGCCAAAGGUUAAAAUUCCCUGUGGAAUUUUAAGCUUCACAGAUAUGAGGAAGUAAAUUUCUGUUGCUUAAACUGCCCAAGCUGUGGCACUUUGUUAUGACAACCCUAUCAGACUAAUACAAAUACCCUCUUGUGAAAGUCACCUUCACCCUUCAGACAUCAAAAUAUGGCUCCUACCAUCAGUGGCCACUGCAGGAGCAUAAGCAGUCAUGACCUCAGGGGCCACUCUGGCGGAGAGCUUACCAAAUUAUCAUUAGAGACUUUCAAAUUUACCAGAUUAUUAUCAAGCAUUUUAGGGGGCAUUGUUUAAUCCUAACAUGUAAUCCCUAAAAUCUAGCCAUCUACCUUUUAAUUUUCUUUCUGUGAACCUAAUUCUUGAGGUUCACAGUUUUCCUCCACGUAGUCUCCUUACUCUCCUCAGGCUACACUUUUUUUUUUUUUGAAAGGAUCAUUUGAUAAGGAAUGAAAGCAAGAUAGGGGAAGCAUUUGGAGAAUUGAUUGCACUGCACAAAUGCAUUGAUAUGCUGGCUUGGGCGAGGUGAUUAUGUGCAUUUAUCAUUUGUGUGAUUAUCUUAAAAGGAGCUCUUAAAUAAGAUAAAAUAAUUUGCUGAACUUCAAAGGCAGGAAUUAGGAUUAGAGAAACUAAAAAGCAAUGGAUCUUGGUUGUGUUACCUUCUGUUGUUUCUCUUAAAUGAAAUUUGUCCUCUGGUCCAUGGACACAUUCCAGUUGAGACUGGUAACCAGACUGCAAUAGGAUCUUUAUGGCUCCCUGUCGGACAUAUCAUCAAAUGUUUAAUAUGCAUAACUACUUCACUUUGGUGGCUUGUUCCCCUAUACUUGCCUUACGCUGAAGACUUUAGUUGGUGACCACCCUUGAAUGCCAGAAGCAGCAGGUUAUUUAUUGUUAAACAUACACAUACAUGUAUCGAUUGGACUCUGACUACUUGGAAAUUUAGAGAUAAGACACUUUAAAUACUAAGGGUACAAACAAUACUGCAGGGACACAGAAGUUCUCUUCCUCUUGGUUGGUAAAGCAACUUGGAGAGUAGGGCGGACUCCCAGGUAAGGACCAUCAAGUAGAGAAAACCUGGGAAGAGCUUGGCCUCGGAAAGCUGGGGACCCCAUGGAAAAACAAACAUUAGUCUAGCAUGAGCAUAUCAUGUCUUCUUGACUCCCAAGGUUACCCUAAGACAGCAUGAAGAUCUCUUGGUCAGACAGGGGUCUAGCAAAGCUCUGUGUCACCAGAGAUAUUUAAGCGUUUUCUUGACUAGUGAAUCCCAAAUCUUGUAAAUUGUCUCACUCAGAUUAGUUGCCUGCUAGAUAAAGCAGAAUAUUAUCCUCCAGAUAGAUAUAAAGAGUAAUGAAUAGACAGACUGAUACACCCCUUGGAUAUGGUUAGAGAAGCUGGGAAUAAUUUAGAUUUGUAUGUCCCCUGAGCAAACUCAUUUUAAAAGGAGACAAAAACCAACUAUUGCUUAACUCUGCUAUUCUUCACAUCUUUAUGCUGUACUUGACUGACUCUGACUUUAGUUUAUUGAUAUCAUUUUGUUUUAUUUUAAAAGGUUUGUAGAAAUACUAUUCACAGGAAGCAAAUAGGAAUUCCUUAUCGCUAAACAGACACUAAGUCAAUUGGGUAAGUCAUGGAAAAAAUAUGUGGGCAAUAUGGCAUAGAGGAGGCCAUGUUAGUCUAGCCAAAGUAACUUCACAUGGAAUCAGGAGGAAUGUGAAUAGUGCUACCUCCUCACACCUUUCAACCUGACAGUCUGGCUAUUCUAUUUAGGCUGCCUCUGGUCAUUGUGGGGGAAGGGCAAGACAUGCUGAAAAGGGCGUGCCACAAUUGAUCUUUGGGUGUGAGACUCAUUUCCUGGAGGGGUGAUAGGCAGUAAUACUAGCAGUAAAACAGUAAAACUUACUGGGGCACCGCCUUGUCUCACUGAUACUGGAGGGAUAGUUGUAUUUCAGUCUAUAGGAAGAUAUCACUCAUCAACUUCAAAAAAACAAACAGGGUCAGGUGCAGCGGCUCAUGCCUGUAAUCCCAGCACUUUGGGAGGCAAAAGCAGGAGAAUUGCUUGAGGCCAGGAGUUCGAGGCUGUAGUGAGCUAUGAUUGUACGACCGCACUCCAGCCUGGGUGACAGAACAGACCCUGUUUCUAAAACAAAACAAAACAAAACAAAACAAAACAAAACAGAAAAACCCCAAAAGACUUCCCCAGCUAGGAGACACACACUGUUCAGCAAGAGGAAGCAGAGGAGGGGGCAGUGUUCCACCUGCAGAGACCCAUUUGGCCACUCUAAAAUUAGCCCCAUGAUUUCCUUUCAUUCUUUGUGUCCUAUGAUCCUGAACUUGAAGUUUCUCUGAAACUAUCACUAUAGCUGCAGCAAUCUACUGUUUGGGGCUUAUUUUGGGCUGUCAUUUCCUAUAUUUUCCCAGAGAUCUUAUCCUGCCUGCUUUUUACUUUUCAGGUAUUUCUCAAAUGUUCUUAUCCUCUUUUUUUAUUUUCUAGUGCUGGUAAUAAUGUAUUACUUUUAGAAUUUUUUUCUCUCUUAGUGGUUGGAAGAGAUAAGGAAAUUUUCCUUCUUGGUUCAACUGAAGAUAAAAAUUUAUUUUGAAAAGAGAAUCAUAGUUUUCAGGAAGAAAGCCUAACUAUAUCCACUGAUGAUAAACUCUCUCAUCUUACCCAUCAGUGCUAAGUAUUUAAAUGACUACACAGAUCUUUUUUAAAAAUUAUUUUCUAGGAAACCAUAUACCAAAGUCAAAAAGAUCACAGUUAAUACAACCUUUAGAUUUAUUUUAAAGUUGCAUUAUUCUAAGGAGGCUACCUAAUUUAUAUAGAACUAAAAUUCUUUCAUGUUAAAGAAGAAGCGAAAUUUACUUAUAAAACAAAGGGGCUGGGUGCAGUGGCUCACGCCUGUAAUCCCAGCACUUUAGGAGGCUGAGAUGGCAGCCUCACUUGAGGUCAGAUCACUUGAGGUCAAGAGUUAGAGACCAGCCUGGCCAACAUGGCGAAAACUCGUCUGUACUAAAAAUACAAAAAUUAGCCGGGUGUGAUGGUGGACACCUGUAAUCCCGGCUACUCGGGAGGCUGAGGCAGGAGAAUCUCUUGAACCCAGGAGGUGAAAGUUGCAGUGAGUGGAGAUUGUGCCCCUGCACUGUAGCCUGGGCAAUAGAAUGAGACUUUUUCUCAAACAAACAAACAAACAAAACAAAGGGACUAGGAUAUCGAGUUUAUUAAACAGAUGCUUAAACAAAUACUCAUACAUUUUCCUACCUAUUUUUCUAGGCAGAAGAUAUUCCAUAUUACUUUGUAACCUGUUCCCCUAUACUUGCCUUAUGUUGAAGACUUUAGUUGGUGACCACCCUUGAAUGCCAGAAAUAGCAAGUUAUUUAUUGUUAAACAUAUACAUGCAUGUAUCGAUUGGACUCUAUUCUGAUUACUUGAAAAUUUAGAAAUAAGACACUUCAAAUUCUGAGGGUACAAACAAUAACACUGCAGGGGCACAGGAGUUUUCUUCCUCUUGGUCGGUAAAGCACCUUGGAGAGUAGGGCAGACUCCCAGGUAACGACCAUGACGUAGAGAACCCUGGGAAGAGCUUGGCAUCAGAAAAGAGUGAGUAAUGAAAGGGGAAGGUCCUCUUAUAAAAGCAGCAGAUCUCAUGAUAGCUCAUUCACUACCAUGAGAACAGCAUGGGGGAAACUGCCCCCUAUGAUUCAAUCACCGCCAACCAGCUCUCUCCCUAGACAAAUGGGGAUUAUGGGGAUUACAAUUCCAGAUGAUAUUUCAGUGGGGACAUAAAGCCUAACCAUAUCAGGGGUCUAAUGGAAAAAGUAUAAAAAAGUAUACAAUAUGUAAGAAUAGAUAAGUAGUAUAAGCAGAGAGAUGGAAGCACUAAGAAAGAAUAAAAAGAAAAUGCUAUAAAUAGAAAACAGUAUAAAAGAAAUAAAGAUGCCAUUGAUGGGUUCAUCAGUAGACUGGAUAUCACCAAAGAAAGCUUGAAGAUGUGUUCAUAGAAACUUUUCAAACUGAAAAUCAAGGAGAAAAAAAAGAAUGAAAAUAAAAGAAUAGUAUAUUUGAGAACAAUAAUCCAGUAAUUACAAAAGUUGUAAUAUAUUUAUAAUGAGAAUGCCAAAAGCAAUACAAAGAAAAAAGAGUAGAAGAAAUAGUUGGGGUAAUUAUGGCUGAGAAUUUUCUAAAAUUAAUAACAGACACCAAAUCAUAGCUCUAGGAAGCUCAGAGAAUACCAAGCAGGAUAAAUGCCAACUCCCCUGACCCUACAAAACCAGAAACCAAACCAAACCAGAACUAUA
This 5420-nucleotide long non-coding RNA is filed under the name Homo sapiens (human). Its description in RNAcentral is "HSALNT0342736". Lineage: Eukaryota; Metazoa; Chordata; Mammalia; Primates; Hominidae. The record is from RNAcentral.